RNAcentral lists this ribosomal RNA (475 nucleotides) under Hyperolius rwandae. RNAcentral describes it as "partial 16S ribosomal RNA". It matches the Rfam family "Bacterial large subunit ribosomal RNA", at positions 1924 to 2561 of the family's 2925-position model. Lineage: Eukaryota; Metazoa; Chordata; Amphibia; Anura; Hyperoliidae. The record is from RNAcentral.
UUAACGGCCGCGGUAUUUUGACCGUGCAAAGGUAGCAUAAUCAAUUGUUCUUUAAAUAAGGACCAGUAUGAACGGCACCACGAGGGCUUAACUGUCUCCCCCCUCCAAUCAAUGAAACUGAUCUUCCCGUGAAGAAGCGGGAAUAAUAUUAUAAGACGAGAAGACCCCAUGGAGCUUCAAACUAAUUAUCAUCUACUUCAAAUAUAUCUAAUAAAACAGUAGUAAUGCUCUUAAUAGUUUUCGGUUGGGGCAACCCCGGAGUAAAAUAAAACCUCCAGGAUGAACGGACAAAAUCCUAAUUAAAGAAUUACUAUUCAACAACUCAAAAAUUUGACACUAUUGAUCCAACUAUAAAUUGAUUGAUCAACGAACCAAGUUACCCUGGGGAUAACAGCGCAAUCCAUUUCAAGAGCCCCUAUCGACAAAUGGGUUUACGACCUCGAUGUUGGAUCGGGAUAUCCUAGCAACGCAGCCG